GUAAGGAUAGUCUUUACCAAUCUCAGCAUAUGCUUUGAUGAAGUCCCACUGAAACUCAUAUGCUUAGUGUGUUUUUGAAGCAAACGGUGCAGCAUGCCACUGGCUAAUCAACUCAAAUGUUAAGUAAAUAUGACAAAUAAUGUCGAUAGCUACAAUAUGUUGUGAUGUGAGCAUUUCAUCUAUGAGCCAGCAUCUCAAGCAUAAUCUCUUGGUAGCACAUGGAUGUAGGAGCAACAAAACAAAGAAGAACAUAUAAAGAAAGGAAAUAAGAAGACACCUAUUUCUUCCGAGCAAUGUACAUGCUAUCACACAACAUGAUCAUGCCUAUGAAUUGAACAUCAGGAAAAAAGAAAAUAUCAUAUGCCAAUGCGGAGGUAAGGGCCACGACACACGGUGAACCACCGGGACACAUAGUGAGCCAGGCAAGGUGCUCUUCCUCGAGUCCUACUGGUCUGUCAAAAGCACACGGCCAACCACCGGGACACAUGGCGAGCCGAGCAAGGUGUUGUUCCUAGAGUCCUUCUAGACUAUCUGAGGAGGGUUGGCAUGGGGGGAGGCACAUUGACGGGGAGAACACACCGGUGUCGGGGAUGAUGCUGGCUUAAAAAGCUUUGGCAUAGAUGGCGAAGGGAUUCUCAUCUAGCACGGUGGACUUGACCAAUGUGACAGCAUCAGAUCCAGAAUUCCCAGCAUGUAUGUCUCUCUCCUCUCCUACAAUUGGCACAACAGUAAGUAUAUCGAUCAAUAUCUAUGGACACAGCUGCAUGAGGGCACAACAAGGAACAACAUAAAAGCACAUCAAUCAGGAUGCUUGUUCAGUACACACACCUUCGCAAACAUUAUCUUCUCCUUUUGAUAUUUGAUUUCUACCACGUAAUAAGCACCGCCAUCCAUCUUUCAAAGUCCUGGUUGUUAUUUUGCAUCAUGUUUGUGGCAAUCUGGAUUCAGCAAAACUCUGAAUCCUUUCACGAUAAUCUCAGUGUUUUCAUAGAAGAAGAAUAAUUGUUUGAAACAACCUGGCAGAAAAAAGGUUGCCACGGGGCAAAUCAAGAAACUUGUUGCCCCAGUUUUAAAUCAAGCAACAGCCAACUGACCUUAUUGAGUAUGCAACCAGAACCAUCGUUCCUUGCACAUAGAGAAGGAUAUCGUAGGCAAAAAGGAGUUUUCUGGCGGCGGACGACGAUGCCUUUGAUUUCUCAUCAGUCGUGUCUGGGCUUCGAUUGCAUACAAGAAAGCGUUACAUGGGGAUGGGGUGGGCAGCUGCUCCGGCAACAAAUUCGUUGAUCUGCUAUUCAUUUAUCAUGGCUUAGGCUUUAAUGUGUUCCUAGCUCUCACCCUUACUAUAUCUCUAACCAGCCGCAUGGCAACUUUUCUGCAAAAAUUAUUGCAGGUGAAUUCCGGC
RNAcentral lists this long non-coding RNA (1402 nucleotides) under Triticum aestivum (bread wheat). Its description in RNAcentral is "long non-coding RNA (TAES_LNC016459)". Lineage: Eukaryota; Viridiplantae; Streptophyta; Magnoliopsida; Poales; Poaceae. The record is from RNAcentral.